AGUGGGGAAUUUUGCGCAAUGGGCGAAAGCCUGACGCAGCAACGCCGCGUGGACGAAGAAGCUCUGCGGAGUGUAAAGUCCUGUCGUAGGGGAAGAACAGCUCCUAUAUUAACACUAUGGGAGUUUGACGGUACCCUGCAAGAAAGCCCCGGCUAACUUCGUGCCAGCAGCCGCGGUAAUACGAGGGGGGCAAGCGUUGUCCGGAAUCAUUGGGCGUAAAGAGCUCGUAGGCGGAUUAAUCAGUCGAGAUUGAAAGACCCCGACUCAAUCGGGGAACCGGUCUCGAUACUGUUAAUCUUGAGUGAGGUAGAGGUAAGCGGAAUUCCUGGUGUAGCGGUGAAAUGCGUAGAUAUCAGGAGGAACACCAAAGGCGAAGGCAGCUUACUGGGCCUAUACUGACGCUGAGGAGCGAAAGCGUGGGGAGCAAACAGGAUUAGAGACCCUGGUAGUCCACGCCGUAAACGAUGAGUACUUGGUGGUGGGGGAUUCGACCCCUUCACUGCCGGAGCU
RNAcentral lists this ribosomal RNA (510 nucleotides) under uncultured bacterium. Its description in RNAcentral is "bacterial SSU rRNA". It matches the Rfam family "Bacterial small subunit ribosomal RNA", at positions 353 to 853 of the family's 1533-position model. The record is from RNAcentral.